Long non-coding RNA from Drosophila serrata, 539 nucleotides. The record is from RefSeq and is a predicted model, not a curated record. Lineage: Eukaryota; Metazoa; Arthropoda; Insecta; Diptera; Drosophilidae.
GACAUCUUAGCAACCUUUGUGUUAAAAGUUGUAUUAGUCUUAAUAUUCAAUUUUGUAGCAAAAACAUUACCUAAAUUCCGAACUGUAAAAAUUACAUUUAAUGAAAAAGUCGCGAUGUCCAAUAUACUAAAAUUUUGAUCAUUUCUCUUUGAUUAGUUCCAGGCCUGCCUCCAGCAUCUACAAAUCAAGGACUUCGUUGCCGAAUACAUCCUAGACAAGCAUGGGAUAAGUGUCUGCCCAUGGAUCCAGACCAUAAUAUCUCCAUCAUCGUCAGAAUAAUGGUUGCCGAUAUGAAAAGUAAUCGAUGAAGAACACCGCCGAGUGAGGUUGUCAAAUUAUACUGAAUUCGUCCAGGAGCCAGGAUCAUCACUGCUUAUUAUCAAGGCCAGUCGACGGUCCUUGGGCAAGGAAGGCGAUCAUAUUCCUUGAACGGGUCAUUCAGACAGAAUUGGUGUAACGGGUCGUGGCACUUCAGCAAAGCUUCCGAAAAAUUUGAUACUGGAUUUAUUUUGUACCAACGAUUCCAAAAAUAUUGUAUA